GACGAACGCUGGCGGCGUGCUUAACACAUGCAAGUCGAACGGAAAGGCCUCUUCGGAGGUACUCGAGUGGCGAACGGGUGAGUAACACGUGGGCAAUCUGCCCUGCACUUCGGGAUAAGCCCGGGAAACUGGGUCUAAUACCGGAUAGGACCUUUAGGCGCAUGUCUUUUGGUGGAAAGCUUUUGCGGUGUGGGAUGGGCCCGCGGCCUAUCAGCUUGUUGGUGGGGUGAUGGCCUACCAAGGCGACGACGGGUAGCCGGCCUGAGAGGGUGUCCGGCCACACUGGGACUGAGAUACGGCCCAGACUCCUACGGGAGGCAGCAGUGGGGAAUAUUGCACAAUGGGCGCAAGCCUGAUGCAGCGACGCCGCGUGGGGGAUGACGGCCUUCGGGUUGUAAACCUCUUUCACCAUCGACGAAGGUCCGGGUUUUCUCGGAUUGACGGUAGGUGGAGAAGAAGCACCGGCCAACUACGUGCCAGCAGCCGCGGUAAUACGUAGGGUGCGAGCGUUGUCCGGAAUUACUGGGCGUAAAGAGCUCGUAGGUGGU
RNAcentral lists this ribosomal RNA (548 nucleotides) under Mycobacterium sp. 13DK077. Its description in RNAcentral is "bacterial SSU rRNA". It matches the Rfam family "Bacterial small subunit ribosomal RNA", at positions 28 to 579 of the family's 1533-position model. The record is from RNAcentral. Lineage: Bacteria; Bacillati; Actinomycetota; Actinomycetes; Mycobacteriales; Mycobacteriaceae.